RNAcentral lists this transfer RNA (65 nucleotides) under Dipodomys ordii (Ord's kangaroo rat). It matches the Rfam family "tRNA". Rfam says of the family: Transfer RNA (tRNA) molecules are approximately 80 nucleotides in length. Lineage: Eukaryota; Metazoa; Chordata; Mammalia; Rodentia; Heteromyidae. The record is from Rfam by way of RNAcentral.
GGUGGCUCAGUGAUAGAGCACUUGUCUUGCAUGCAUGAGGCCCUGGGUUCGAUUCCUCAGCACCA